This 156-nucleotide unclassified non-coding RNA is filed under the name uncultured Bionectriaceae. Its description in RNAcentral is "sequence contains ITS1". The record is from RNAcentral. Lineage: Eukaryota; Fungi; Ascomycota; Sordariomycetes; Hypocreales.
CCGAGUUUUCAACUCCCAAACCCAUGUGAAUUUACCACUGUUGCUUCGGCGGUCACGCCCCGGGCGCCACUGUGUGCCCCGGAUCCAGGCGUCCGCCGGAGGACCUAAACUCUUGUUUUUUAUAGUAUCUUCUGAGUGGUUUAUACAAAUAAAUCA